This 218-nucleotide unclassified non-coding RNA is filed under the name soil metagenome. RNAcentral describes it as "partial contains 5.8S ribosomal RNA, internal transcribed spacer 2, and large subunit ribosomal RNA". The record is from RNAcentral.
AACCUUAUGGACCUGCGGGCGUAUACCUGCGGAGGGAUCAUUACAAGUGACCCCGGUCUAACCACCGGGAUGUUCAUAACCCUUUGUUGUCCGACUCUGUUGCCUCCGGGGCGACUCUGCCUUCGGGCGGGGGCUCCGGGUGGACACUUCAAACUCUUGCGUAACUUUGCAGUCUGAGUAAACUUAAUUAAUAAAUUAAAACUUUCAACAACGGAUCU